Elaeis guineensis (African oil palm) is the source of this 70-nucleotide small nucleolar RNA. The record is from RefSeq and is a predicted model, not a curated record. NCBI's taxonomy places the organism in Eukaryota, Viridiplantae, Streptophyta, Magnoliopsida, Arecales, Arecaceae.
CAGGUGCCCAUGAUGGUUUUAAAUAUACUUUGAGAAAUCACUAUGAAAAGACUUUAAUCUGAGGCACUCU